Molecule: long non-coding RNA, 901 nt
Organism: Oreochromis niloticus (Nile tilapia)
Lineage: Eukaryota; Metazoa; Chordata; Actinopteri; Cichliformes; Cichlidae
Exons: 5
Source: RefSeq, a predicted model, not a curated record
CCCAGACAGCGUUUUCUAUCUCCUAGCUGGUGUUUUUUGUUUGUCUGUGACUGGAGAGUCAGAUUUUUGUUGAGGCUGGAGGAACAGCCUCACACUUGCAGAGGCUAAUACACACUACUGAUCCCUGAUGGGAGAAUCAUCACCUCUGCCAACAAAGAAGCCUGGUGGAUAUUUGUUUGCAGUCUGAUGAUGGGACAUCAUGCUCUGCAUCUUCAAAGUUUGUCUCUUGCUUAUUAUUCAUACACAGUAAUGUGAAUUAUGCUUAUAUCUAGUAUAACUGGACCAACCUGGUGCUCUUCAUUUAUGGAGGCUGUUGAGUCUGAAUGUUGGAUGUUGUGUAUCUCGUGUUCUCUGGGCUUUGUUGUCCUCAGUCUGUUUGCAGGAUCAGAAAACAAAACCAGGAGGUCCAUAAAUGUUUCUUCUCCAAUUGGAUGAUGAUAAGACUGUGACAUGGGAUGCCACCUUUAGUCUUGUGAUGAAGGAAAGCUCAGGAAGAAGUGUGAUUAAAUGGUACCCACAUGUGUGCUGCUGAGAAGGAUGUACAGGGGCACCUGCAGCCAAAUCCAAGCCGCCUCAGAGCAGAGCGGCAGUUUGUGCUCACAGAUGGUGACGGUGUGGAGAGACGGUGGUGUUUCCUCAGAAGAACUAGCAGAGUCACAAAGGACACGAGUCCUUCUCACCACCUUGACUUGCUGACUGAUGCUCGUCUGCACUGCACAGAGGAAAUCAACUAACCGAGGAGUGUUUCUGAGUGAGGGAGAGAGGAGUCAUCAUCCAGGUAAAGUGACGUGGAUCAGUGGACACACUUGUCUCCACUUUAAAGGAGACGAUCCGAGUCAUCCCUAAAUAUGGGCAGGAUAUCAGUCUUGGACUGUCUGACCUGCAGGAGCAGCACAGAAUG